UGUGAUGUUUGUUCUAUUAGUUGGAUUCUUGGUUUGGCAGGUAGUUUUUUACCACAGUUAAAGUAAUGUUGUUUAGUUCAAUUGUGUAAUUGUCGUUAGCUGUGAACCACUGUGCACACUUGCACAAUGUACAAGAGAGAGAGAGAAGGAGGGGGGAAGAAAGUUUACUAUCAAAUCCUUUAGUCCUUUUUUUUCACAUUUGGAUUUAGACUCCUGUCUGAAGUGAGCUCUGGAACCUGCCUGCCUAAACUGUAUUGGGACUAUUGAUACUAACCUUUCCUGUUUUCUCUAGCAGUUGGUGCACAUGGUUAUGGCUGUGAGCUGUAGUUCCUAUGGUACAGGGUUUGAGUCCCUCAGCCUUCGUUUGCCUACUUUGUGACCUUGAGCUAGUCACUUAACCAGCUAGUACUUAGGAGAACUAAGAAUUUGUACUAGGUGCCUCGAUGGUCCCCUGCACUGCAAACCUAGUAAUUCCCUAUAAAUCUUCUCAUCUUUGGGAUAUUCUUGUGGCUGUUUUCCUGUUUGGCAGAUUCAUGCUUCAUACGAACUUUGAUGUGAUAAAUACGGGAUUGUUGUACAAGUUUAACACCUAUUCUGCUGAGCUGUAGACCACUCUGCAUAUAUAUGGAGCACGUACAAGAGAAAAGGAAGGAGAAGAGAUUAUAUUUAUACAUCUGGGUUCAUAUUAGCUGUGUGAACUGAAAUGAAGCAGCAUGACACUGCUAGGCUAUUACUCUGGCCCUUGUGGGUAUAACUGUGACCUUUAUUAUGUUUCAAAUACUAGUUAAGACUCUUCUGUAUCAAGGAACCACUGACAAGGAACUUAAAUAAGUGAGAUGACAUCAGAGGUCAUACAAGAGGAACAAGAAGUUGGAGGAAGUGAAAGAGUGAACAGUGACAAAUCCAAGGUGCAUGUGAUUUCUCAAAGUAAAGAUGAUAAAGAAAAUUAAAUCAAGAAAACGAAAAGUAUUUGCAUUUGCAACUGUCUAAGGUUGCCCCUACAAAUACUCAGCAAACCAAUAUUUACUAGAAUGCUCUCAGAAGAAAAUAGACUAUAUCUGAAUGAACAGGCAAACAACAGUAAAGGAAAAGAUGAUGUCAACUGAAUGUUCCUGAUUUCAUUCCGACGCCAUUUGUCAUCGAGCAAUUUUGCUUGAAAUGAUUUCUUAGGAAGCAGCACAUUAUUCUCUGUUUCUAUCUAUAUGUAUAUGGCAAUAAAUAAA
Protopterus annectens (West African lungfish) is the source of this 1223-nucleotide long non-coding RNA. RefSeq lists it as uncharacterized. The record is from RefSeq and is a predicted model, not a curated record. The transcript is spliced from 3 exons. NCBI's taxonomy places the organism in Eukaryota, Metazoa, Chordata, Ceratodontiformes, Protopteridae.